Molecule: long non-coding RNA, 751 nt
Filed under: Numida meleagris (helmeted guineafowl)
Lineage: Eukaryota; Metazoa; Chordata; Aves; Galliformes; Numididae
Description: lncRNA (ENSNMEG00000023102.1)
Source: RNAcentral
CUCCAAUGCUUAAACCACAGGAGAAAAGUAGGAUGCUGGUACCACAGAAGUAGUGUGCUCCAAACUUCGGGCUGUACCUACUGUCCGGGGAUGAAAUCUGCCACCAGGACUUGCAAUACAUAGUCCUGUGCUCCCCAAGAGCUUUCGCUUCCUGCAAUGCGCUUGAGACCCGCAUGCAUCUUUGAAGAAAUGAUGCCUACUGCGAUUCAAGGAAGCAGGCUGUUCAUAAGGCAUAGUGACGAGCGCUACUGAAUCGUGUUCAUAAAUCACUUGUAGACCUUCUGCCAAUCACCAUCCAAUCAGCACUCGUACAGGAUAUGAGCGUGGAUGUUAUCGCAAUUUAAUGGGUCAGGGAUGCAAGGUGCUAUUGAAAGAAGUGAGGUUCAAUAGCAGUCUAGCAUCUGAACAAAAGAAGAUUUUCGCUGUAUUUUUCUGUGUUCUAGAGAAGUUAUGCGUGUCAGCACCCUCAUGCUCAACACAUUGCCCCGCUCAUCCCCAGAUACGCACAGAGCCUGGGCAAGGGGACGUCCUCCAGGAUGAAGCAUGGAGAGCUCCUGCUACUGAGCCUGCUGCUUCGUCCAUCUUCUGUGAUUCAAGGCUUGGUCUCCCUCCUGGAUGUGUUCACAGCCACACUCCCUGCUGUUCUUGGGACCUGACACAUCAGCAUGGCUCUCGACCUCUCCUCAUGCAAACCUUCCCUGCGUGGCAAAUAGGGAAUUUUGCCCUCCUUAAUGGGAGUUGCACUAUCUGA